This 116-nucleotide ribosomal RNA is filed under the name Mesonia aestuariivivens. Its description in RNAcentral is "partial 23S ribosomal RNA". It matches the Rfam family "Bacterial large subunit ribosomal RNA", at positions 2797 to 2925 of the family's 2925-position model. Lineage: Bacteria; Pseudomonadati; Bacteroidota; Flavobacteriia; Flavobacteriales; Flavobacteriaceae. The record is from RNAcentral.
CCACAAGAUGAGAUUUCUUUUAAGGGUCGUGAGAGACGAUCACGUUGAUAGGCUAUAGGUGUAAAGGCAGUAAUGUCAUAGCCAAGUAGUACUAAUAACCCGUAUUGCUUAUGCAU